RNAcentral lists this long non-coding RNA (905 nucleotides) under Mus musculus (house mouse). RNAcentral describes it as "long non-coding RNA chr1:156067950-156068855". Lineage: Eukaryota; Metazoa; Chordata; Mammalia; Rodentia; Muridae. The record is from RNAcentral.
GAACAAGUAAUUUUCUGGUUUUGAUACCGAGUCUCUACACAGUCCAAAGUAAUGAUUCUCAAGCCUCGGGCUCUUACAGGAUGGGAUUACGGUAGUGUGCCGCCACACCAGCCUAUUAUCCCGUGUACUGUCUUCUAGACCAUUGCUUUUCAUAUUCAGUUUUCCAGCCUUUUAUGUGUGUUGUAAUUCUUUGUGAUAAUUUGCCUGUGUGUGUAUGUUUUUUAUUGGUGGUGGGGUUUUUUUUGUUUGUUUUUAACUAGGAAUCCCUUCUUGAGUAAUACCAAGUCUUAGAAGCAAGCAGGGGAAAUAGAAACUGUCUUUAGACUUGGGUCUUUCUUUCCCUUUCAGGUAAAAUUUAGGGUUCUUCUGGGCACCACUCAGAGAUUGUCAGAAAAGCUCUAGAGAGUUCUUAACACUGAACUAAUUUUAGUAACUUUUACCUGGAAGUCCGCAGGCUUAGGGGGAGUAGUGAGGCUCAGUACCCUUCCCAUUGGCUUAUGUGCCCCACCCCCACCCCCAAUCACUGUGGCUGAUGGUACAGCUUUGUCUCACAGCCUUUGGUCCACAGUCUUGUUAAAGACAGGAGCACUGUGAGCACGGAUGUUGGCUAUGACAGACAGAUGCAGCCUGUGAACACGAGAGUAGUGCAGCAAAAAUGAUUUUCACCAACACUCUUACUUUCUCUAACAAAGAUUUCUUAACCCCAUAGAGUUUUGCCUUUAUAUAUUUACAAAUGUAAUGGCUUGUCAAACUUACCAAAUCACCAUAACUGCUUUUUGCAUUCAUUUCCAUAGUGAUGAUGUUGAAUGUGCCUUAUUCAAAUCAAUUGUCUGAUUACUAUACAAUAAAUCUCUUCAAUUUUUCCUGACUGAUUUUUUACUAAAAUUUCCAAAAUAAAGAAUUUA